Long non-coding RNA from Brassica rapa (field mustard), 6471 nucleotides. RefSeq lists it as uncharacterized. NCBI's taxonomy places the organism in Eukaryota, Viridiplantae, Streptophyta, Magnoliopsida, Brassicales, Brassicaceae. The record is from RefSeq and is a predicted model, not a curated record.
UUCUCUGUAACCAUAAAACAUGUUUUUCUCUCUUUUCCUUGUGCCAUGUCACCAUGGAAGGAGGGGCAAAUUACGCCACAUGUCACGUGUCCAAUCUAAAACGUCAAUGUUUCCUUUGAUAAUCAUGUCAAAUGGGCCAUAAGAGACCUUCCUUAAUACAUGUUACCUCACUUAUCAUAUGAAUUACUUAGCCCACUAAUUGGAGUUUCUAGCCUUCUCUGCCUCAGUGUGCGCCUAGCAAUCGCGGUCUAAGCUUUCGUUGCGCGGUUUCCACUUCUUCACCAGACUCCAGUCUAUUUUCUCUCUCGAGUGAAUCUGUCUCCUUAUCUUCUCUUUACAGUCUAGAUACCAAAAUUGGCAAACACCAUUGCUCUCUGCUUUCGCAGGGUCCAGUUACGAGAGGAUGUUCUAAGAAGAUGAUCGGAUGAAGAAAGUCGAAGGCUUUAGUCAUCUCGGCGCAAACCCAGUACCUUUUCAUUUCUCAGUUUGACUGUAUACUGUUUUGAUAAAUGAAUCGGUCUGUUGCUAAGUAGGUUUGGUUUAUCUUAAUAUUUUAGGUGGAGUUUAUACUUGAAGUCACGUUAACCUUUUUGAAUACAGUUUAUUGAUCCAUGUCCUUGCUCACAUAGCUUUUGAAGCAUGCUGGAUUCAAAACUUACCCAAGUUGGUGGAGGAUAUACUUCAGACAUCGAUAAACACAUGUCCAAGUGGUGUUAUGCCUUGUCCAAGGCGUUCAGGCCUUUGUUGGGGUCGGAGGAGAGUGGCUGAAUGAUAUUUCUAAGUCCACGAGAGUGUCUGGUGGCUUACCAACUAAAAUGCAGCUUGGUCUACUGUCUCCUCUUGAGUAAGCUCUUUGAACGCAUGGGAACUACUUACAUUAAGCUGGACCAGUUUAUAGCAUCUGCACCAACUUUUUUCCCACCUGAAUAUGUCAAAGAGUUUCAGAACUCCUUCAACAAAGCUCAUCCCGUUUCGUUUGAAGAAAUUCAUACAUUUUUGCAAGAGGAACUUGGUAGCCCCAUAGACAGCGUAACGUUGACCCUACACAAUUGCUUCAGCCUAAAUAGCACAAAAUCAUCAGGACCAGGUCCAUGAACCAUGGCGCAAGGCUUAGAGGCUAACAAGAGGAUGUCGUGAUUAAGGUCUUGAAGCCUGGAAAUAGAAGAUUUCUUAGUGACAGAUUUGAACUAUUUACGAUGUUUCCUGUACAUUUGAGUUCUUGAGUUCUGAGUUCAGCCGUACUUCACUGCUCUAUAUGCUCAAAAAUGACUCGAGUCAAGCUUCUAGACAUGGCUACAGUUUGCCACAACACCAAGUUGUUAAGAAAUUGUUUCUUACGAAAUGGAUUGGGGUACAGUUGUUGCUGGGCACUAUCCUUGGGUUUCUCAUCAAACUACUAACAUGUCUUUGAGACUCCGUUUAUUUUUGAUAUAUGUAGAGAGCUCAAAGAAAUCUUGGGCCUGGUCAAGAAAGAGGUACUGUCCACAAUAAUAAAUGAUCGUCUGGAUAAGUAGUUUGCGUGAUUAUCAAAUUGUAUCCUAGAUUGAAAGUCAUUUUCCUUCUAUUUCUCCAUAUUGAGUUCUAUAACACUUCAGUGACGUCAACAGAAAUAACCCAAAUGAACGGACAACCACUAAGAAACUGCAACUGUUGGGUUUUUAAAAUAUUGACCUGCAACUACACUUAUGCUUCACAAACAGCUAAACACUAGAUGAUAGUCCGCGUAAUGAGUUUUUAUAAUAAUGUUUGUUUAUUAAAUGGUUUUAACAUUUUGUAAUACUAUAAUAUUUAUCGAUUAUAAAAUGACGAAUACAAAUGUUGGUCUCUUAAAUAUAUCAUCGCUGUUGAAGAGUUAACGUAUUACAUCUCAUUUUAAUUAUUUUUAAGAUUUCAUAUACACAAAAAAAAAUUAAAUUUUGCGGCUGACACAAAUCACCAAAACCAAAUAGACAACAUCGAUUGUAUAAUAACGAAAGGAGAUUAGGUUUUUUGCUCUCGAUUUGUUUACUAUUGACUCUCCAUAAGUGAGUUAAUUUUCUGCGUCUAUAAAAUUGUGUUUUUAUUCUCGUCUUUGUUUUAUUGAUAUGAGUUAAGUUUCUUUUUUUAACUUCUUUUAUGAAUUCGGUGAAUUAAAUUAGUGUCAAUUUAAAAAUUAGUUUCACUCCAGAUACAUAUCUAAGAAUCAAAAUUUUGAAAAAAAUCACUCGCAAACUAUAUUAACAGAUUAGUGUUCAAAUCUAAUAUAUCAAGCUGUUAUAGAAUAUAUAAGUGCAUAUUCAAAAUAUAAAUGUCUGUCUAGUAUAUAUUCACCAGCUCGGUCUAAGAAUCAUCUAAUUCUAGAACAACAAAACAAAUUACUUAUUUCACCAGUUCGGAUAAUAUUCGAAUCCAAACGGGUAAUAUCCGAACCCAAAUGGAUAUCCGAAGAUGACCAAACGUAAGUAUACUUAACUCUAUAUUUCUAGUUUACUUCUCUCAUUUUAUUCAAAAUAUUUAUAUUAAUGAUGCUUAUUCUUAAAAUUAGAUAAUAUACAUAUAAUUAUGGACAAAAUUAUUUGCAACUCACUUAAUAUAUAUAGCAAGCUCUUGUUUAUUGGAUUAACAAAAAUUGCAUCUAAAAUUUCAAAACAACAACUAAAUUAGUGUCUUUCUAUUUUUUAAAGUUUUAUCUUCAAACCUAUUAAUAGUUUAAUUUUUUUAGAAUUAGAAAACCAGUUAAAAUAUAUUUUAAAUCCAAAAAACUUAAACAAUAAAUCAUUUAUUUAUUUUUUCUUCAAAAUUUAAAUAUACGAACCCGACCAUAAAUAUCUGAACCCGAACAUAAAAUACCCUAACCCGACUCGAAGUGUAGAAAUAUCCGGACUGGUUUUAUACAUAUAUACUGAAAUACCUGAUACGAACCCAAACAUGUAUCCGAACACCCACCCCUACAAUAUAUGAUAAUCAUUUUUAUCUUUUUUGAACAAAAAAGUUAAACCAUUGAUCCUUUAUGUAAAAAAAUAUUAAAGUAUUUUCUCACAAACACAUGUUAUAUAAUCCAUGGAAUAAUUCCAAAAUAACCAAAGCAAAAACAUUUCUGCUACAUUUUGGAAAAUAGAAUCAAAUUCCCAUGAAACUAAACUCAUUGACUAUGAAACUGAAUAUAAAUUGUGUUUAAUUCUAGUUAAUUGAUUUUUUUUUAAAUACGUUUAUUUAUUUAAAGAAUAUUACUUUUAAUUCCUCCAAAAUCUUUUAGGAUAUCUUAAGCAAUUUAUUCUUAAGAUUUUAUUUAUAUAUAUUAUGAGUAAAUUUAAUAUGAAGGAAUUGUCUUUAACUAUAUAUAAAAUUUAAUUUAAAAUUUGAUGUGCAUUCUAUAAUAUACCAGUAGCUGCAAGAUAAAUUAUAAAUAUACGAUUCUAUUUUAAUAGAAUAAAUGCCACAAAAUAUACAUCCAAAAUUGAUAUAUGAUAAAACAUGGACUAAGAUCACAUUGUAACUUCAUUUGCAUGCUAGAAUGGAUUGAUAUAACAUUACAUUUUUAAUAAUAAAAACUACAUGGAACAAAAUCCCAACAGAUAAAAAAACAGAUUAUGUUUCAGUGAUAUAUAGAAAUUGGUUUUCAAUAUAUUAUAAUCUAAAUAUUAUAUGGUACGAAUUACUUCUACAUAGAUGAUAUACCUUCAUCUAUGUUUCCAAAAAACGAAAAGCAAAUCUACUAAUUAAACAUGAAAUAGUCAACUUUAUAAAUAGAGAUGUAUGUUCAUAUCAUGACACAUUUACCAUGUACUAGAUUUCUUCUAUUACAUAUAAUAAGAUCAUAUAGUAAGUUCAUUUCCAUACUAGAAGGGGUUGAAAUAAAAAUUGCAUUUCAAAUUAAAAACUUAAUGGAAAAUAAUCCCAACAAAUGAAACAUAUAUAUAGUAUUUUUAUAGAUAUAUAGAAAUUAGAAUAAAAUAUAUUAUAAACAAAAUAUUGCUUUUAUAUGUAUUACUUACACCUAGAUACUCUACCUUCAAAUGUAUCUGUCCAAAAAUAAAAUAAAUAACAAACUUAAUUCUACCAGUAAGCAGUCAAGUUAUAAAUAGGGAUGCAAGUUCAAUAUCAUGACAUAUUCAUUCAUAUAAAUUAAAAAGAAGAAAAGCACAUAUAUCAGAAAGAUGAGUAAAAUUUUGAGCAUGACAUGGAUAAUGAUGAUGAUACUAACAUUGAUUGUUAUCGAAGGUGAAGCAAAAUCGGAGAUGGAAUGCAAUGUUAUUUGCCGUCCUCAUUGCAAAGCUUUUGGUUCAGCAGGAGAGUGUUCCGAGUGUCAUAAAAAGUGUAAUCUAUCUCCACCAUCUCUAAUGACAAAGAUUCUAAAGAAUCAAAACAACAGCAAACAAGAUGACUUGAUUAACUAACCUAUAACUAAUAUGCUAAAUGUAUUGAUGGACACCUAUUCCAGAUUUCUUGUAUUGAUUAUGUAUUAUCUAUUUAAUAAUAAGAUGAAAAUCUUACAUUUACUCUGAAUCUGAUGUCCAUAUUAGUUAUAUAUUUAACUAUACGACAUAUAAACAUAACUACUACUGGUGGAAAGUCAUUUGCGUACAUCAAUAAUUGUACAUAUUUUUUCACUAGAAGAAAAUUACUUUUAAAGUGAUAUACGGUUAAUAUUUUGUCUAAAUUAUGUAUUGUAUACCAAAUAUUAAAGUUUAAUCCGCUCUCGCAAAACAAGAUUUUAACUUUUGUAGAGAAUUUAUGUUUUUAAGUUUUGUACAUAUCUUUGAAUUGAAUUUAUGUACAUAAUAUAUUUACAUUUAUGUUAUAAUUAUUUAAUUCUUCUUAUAUUGUUUUUAUUUUAUUUUAUAAGAUGUAUCAUUGAAAUGAAAUAAUUAUAUCUCUUAUUAGACAAUCCGUCUUACAUUGUUUUAAAAGUUAUUAUAAUAAUAAUGAGUUAAUAUUUUCAUUUAUCAUUCUUAUACUUGAUAAAAAAUUUGCAUGUUUCAUAAAAUAAGCCGCAAAAUAUUGCAAUCAUAAGAUUAUCAUAUGUAACCCGAUCCACCUCAUAAUCAUAUAAUAUAUAGUAGAUAUAAUUUAAUAUUUUAGUUUUAUCAAAUAAAUAUAUAUUGAUUUCAUUUUGUAAUUUUUUUAAUAAAUUAUAAAAUUAAAUUCAAGGAAUUAAACAAAUAAUAUUUAUUAUUUAAUAUUACAAUAUUUUUCAACUUAUUAAAAUACUAUAAGAAUAAGAACAUAAAAUUAUAAUUUAUAAAAUAAUUAAGAACAUAAAAUUAUAAUUUAUAAAAUAAAUUUAUUUAAAAUAAAUAUUAAAUAAUAUGAAGGAAUUGUCUUUAACUAUAUAUAAAAUUUAAUUUAAAAUUUGAUGUGCAUUCUAUAAUAUACCAGUAGCUGCAAGAUAAAUUAUAAAUAUACGAUUCUAUUUUAAUAGAAUAAAUGCCACAAAAUAUACAUCCAAAAUUGAUAUAUGAUAAAACAUGGACUAAGAUCACAUUGUAACUUCAUUUGCAUGCUAGAAUGGAUUGAUAUAACAUUACAUUUUUAAUAAUAAAAACUACAUGGAACAAAAUCCCAACAGAUAAAAAACAGAUUAUGUUUCAGUGAUAUAUAGAAAUUGGUUUUCAAUAUAUUAUAAUCUAAAUAUUAUAUGGUACGAAUUACUUCUACAUAGAUGAUAUACCUUCAUCUAUGUUUCCAAAAAACGAAAAGCAAAUCUACUAAUUAAACAUGAAAUAGUCAACUUUAUAAAUAGAGAUGUAUGUUCAUAUCAUGACACAUUUACCAUGUACUAGAUUUCUUCUAUUACAUAUAAUAAGAUCAUAUAGUAAGUUCAUUUCCAUACUAGAAGGGGUUGAAAUAAAAAUUGCAUUUCAAAUUAAAAACUUAAUGGAAAAUAAUCCCAACAAAUGAAACAUAUAUAUAGUAUUUUUAUAGAUAUAUAGAAAUUAGAAUAAAAUAUAUUAUAAACAAAAUAUUGCUUUUAUAUGUAUUACUUACACCUAGAUACUCUACCUUCAAAUGUAUCUGUCCAAAAAUAAAAUAAAUAACAAACUUAAUUCUACCAGUAAGCAGUCAAGUUAUAAAUAGGGAUGCAAGUUCAAUAUCAUGACAUAUUCAUUCAUAUAAAUUAAAAAGAAGAAAAGCACAUAUAUCAGAAAGAUGAGUAAAAUUUUGAGCAUGACAUGGAUAAUGAUGAUGAUACUAACAUUGAUUGUUAUCGAAGGUGAAGCAAAAUCGGAGAUGGAAUGCAAUGUUAUUUGCCGUCCUCAUUGCAAAGCUUUUGGUUCAGCAGGAGAGUGUUCCGAGUGUCAUAAAAAGUGUAAUCUAUCUCCACCAUCUCUAAUGACAAAGAUUCUAAAGAAUCAAAACAACAGCAAACAAGAUGACUUGAUUAACUAACCUAUAACUAAUAUGCUAAAUGUAUUGAUGAACACCUAUUCCAGAUUUCUUGUAUUGAUUAUGUAUUAUCUAUUUAAUAAUAAGAUGAAAAUCUUACAUUUA